Transfer RNA from Coniophora puteana RWD-64-598 SS2, 82 nucleotides. It matches the Rfam family "tRNA". From Rfam's summary of the family: Transfer RNA (tRNA) molecules are approximately 80 nucleotides in length. Lineage: Eukaryota; Fungi; Basidiomycota; Agaricomycetes; Boletales; Coniophoraceae. The record is from Rfam.
GGUCCAAUGGUCUAGUGGUAAGAUACUUGCUUUGGGUACACACAAUUGCAAGGGAUCCUGGGUUCGAAUCCCAGUUGGACCC